GGUGCGCGGGAGGGGCCGCGCACGGUACCCCCGCGGCUGCGCGGCCGUUGUCACAGCCCCGCUGCCUCGUCGCCAGCGUGAGGGCCGCUGCCGGCGGGGAGACCGGGGAAACUUUGGUGCUGUAACCUGCUGCUGAACCAACAAAUUGGAAACAAUUCAUAGCAUCAAAGACUUCAGACUGAUGUCGCCUAUCAAGUCUUCAAGCACUGUGAACUGAAACUACAGAUCUUGGAGUUCGUGUCACUUGGGUCAAAAGGAAUGCUUGUUUGAUAUUAACGAGGACUAUCACUGCCAUUAUGACGAGCCAGGAGAAGUGGCUUAACCUUAGUCCUGGAGAGUUCUCUCAGCUUCAGAAAUAUGCAGAAUGUUUCAGUAAAUGAGUACCAGAGUAGCACUGGCUUCUAAUAGCACUCUAGAGAUGAAAUGACUACCUGUACAGGAGGACCACUAAGCUGCUGUUCAUAUUGCAAGCUCUCCAAGGCAAGCUCUGCCCUUAAGACAAAUACUUCGCAGUUCUGUCUACACAGUGGGAGCUUUAGCUGUUAGUUCUACAAUUAUUUAAUUUUGUCACGUCAAAAGUACUUUAAAUUUCAUUGCUUUAUAUUUCUUGGUUUUCCUCCCAUUAAAUCUAUUUUUUUUUUUUUCUUAGGAGUUUCUUAUUUUUCUCCUUUUCCAACCCUGUUUUGUUAGCUACCCAGAAAACCUAUGUACUGUCUUGGGCUAACAGAAAUAAAGAAAUGAUCCAAUAAAUAAUCCAGCUAUCUUUACAGCUUAGCAUUCUGUCCCUGGGAGGCGUGCAUUUGAAAAGUUUUAUAAGAGUUCCAGGCACAAAUAUGUUAAUAUGUGUUCAGGGUCUGUUUUAACAUUAAAAAGCAGUACUAAAUUUUGCGUAAUUGAACACAGUGGUUGCCUAACAAUCACAUCUCCAUUUUAUUAUUUCAGUGGAAACUAGCAAUAUGGCCUUUGCACUGCAGAAAGUCUUUGAUUUGAAGCUGAGUCAGUCAGACUUCCUUGAGUAUUGUGUUGCUUUUUUUAAAAAGUUGCACUUUUAACAGCAUAUGUUAACAAAUAAGGAAUGUAUGCUAUUGCUGUAUUUUUGUAUAUUAAACCUGCAAGUUGAUAAAUACUUUAGGUUUUGUUCUGGUGGAUGUUAUUUAGGAUAUACACGAAUGACUAUUUUAUUUGAGAGGAAUGCCCACUUCACAUCUUAUUUUGAAUGCACAUAGUGUUGCUCCUUUCCAUGUUGCAUCCUUUUUUUUUCCCCUCAGAAGUCAUGCAGUUCAAGCAGUGAUGCACAGAGUCUCAGUUCAUAUCAGCUUUCUUCCAGUGAUAAGUUUGCAUUUACUUGCUGCUGGGUGUUGCACAAAGAACAGUGCCAGAGAGUUGGUACAUGCAGUGUUCUGAGGUGGUGGUGAAGGCAGACACAGUUAGGGUUUUUAAUUGUGAUUUGUCUUGUUUGUAAAAGCAGUUGAGAUUUUUUUUUUUUUUUUAAGUGCUUCUCUUAUUCAGACUGCCAAUACAUCACUAUGAACUUGUCUGUAAUAGCACUUUAGUGUUUAGGCCGAGCUUCUUACAGACUGCAUGCCUCAUACAGAUCCAUAUCUCUAUAUCUUCAAAAAUACAGUGGUAAUAAAAAUAAUAAAAAAAGCCACAUCACCACAGUUCUCAACUUAAAAGGGUGAGAAUCUGCUAUCUCUUACAGAUUGACAAGCAUUUCUGAAGAUUUGAUUUUUGCAUUGUUUUACUAAGUACUUGUGCAUGUCUGCUCAGUCUUUUCCACAAACACUGUCUCAAUGCCCUAUUCUUUGACAAUUGAAUCCUAUGUUGUUGUUGUUUUUUUGUAAUUUUGUGAGAUAAAUGAAUUAUAUUCCCAAUUUCUCCCACCUGGUUGGUUUUUACAGAAAAAAAAAAAAUAGUUAUUCCUGUU
This is a non-coding RNA of Phasianus colchicus (ring-necked pheasant), 1927 nucleotides long. NCBI's taxonomy places the organism in Eukaryota, Metazoa, Chordata, Aves, Galliformes, Phasianidae. The record is from RefSeq and is a predicted model, not a curated record.